This 258-nucleotide long non-coding RNA is filed under the name Solanum tuberosum (potato). RNAcentral's name for it is "long non-coding RNA (STUB_LNC007156)". The record is from RNAcentral. Lineage: Eukaryota; Viridiplantae; Streptophyta; Magnoliopsida; Solanales; Solanaceae.
CUAGAUCUUGCAACUUUUGGUGUUGGAAGGAUAAAGAAAAUAUUGAUCCGAGGUCGAAAUUUGUGAUUCCUAAACUAAUACAGAAAUUGGGUGAGCUUGAGAAUAUAGUAGAAUCCUCUCAAACCUCAGCCACUGCAUUUGAAUUGAUUGAGGUUACUGAAGAAGUUGACAAGCCGGGAGAUUUCAAACAAGAUGAUGAUUGUCUAGGUAUGAAAUUGAAAAUGUUGCAAGAAGAGGUUGAGAAGAUGAAAGUGAUGC